RNAcentral lists this ribosomal RNA (253 nucleotides) under uncultured bacterium. Its description in RNAcentral is "partial 16S ribosomal RNA". It matches the Rfam family "Bacterial small subunit ribosomal RNA", at positions 524 to 776 of the family's 1533-position model. The record is from RNAcentral.
UACGUAGGGUGCAAGCGUUGUUCGGAAUUACUGGGCGUAAAGCGCGUGUAGGCGGCCAGGUAAGUCUAGUGUGAAAUCCCGGGGCUUAACCCCGGAAGUGCAUUGGAUACUGCCCGGCUAGAGGAUGAGAGAGGAAGGUGGAAUUCCUGGUGUAGGGGUGAAAUCCGUAGAUAUCAGGAGGAACAUCGGAAGCGAAGGCGGCCUUCUGGCUCAUUUCUGACGCUGAGACGCGAAAGCGUGGGUAGCAAACAGG